RNAcentral lists this transfer RNA (76 nucleotides) under Stereum hirsutum FP-91666 SS1. RNAcentral describes it as "tRNA-Ala (TGC) (tRNA-Ala-TGC-3-1)". It matches the Rfam family "tRNA". Rfam says of the family: Transfer RNA (tRNA) molecules are approximately 80 nucleotides in length. Their secondary structure includes four short double-helical elements and three loops (D, anti-codon, and T loops). The record is from RNAcentral. Lineage: Eukaryota; Fungi; Basidiomycota; Agaricomycetes; Russulales; Stereaceae.
AGCUCGGUAGCGCAAUGGUAGCGCGUCUCUGUCCACUUGCAACGGGAAGAUCUCGGUUCGAUUCCGAGUCGAGCUA